UUGUGAUUCAUGACUGGGGUGAAGUCGUAACAAGGUAACCGUAGGGGAACCUGCGGUUGGAUCACCUCCUUACCUGAAAGAAGC
This 84-nucleotide ribosomal RNA is filed under the name Salmonella enterica subsp. enterica serovar Senftenberg. Its description in RNAcentral is "partial 16S ribosomal RNA". The stretch from base 1 to 72 matches the Rfam family "Bacterial small subunit ribosomal RNA", at positions 1462 to 1533 of the family's 1533-position model. The record is from RNAcentral. Lineage: Bacteria; Pseudomonadati; Pseudomonadota; Gammaproteobacteria; Enterobacterales; Enterobacteriaceae.